RNAcentral lists this ribosomal RNA (383 nucleotides) under uncultured Lactobacillus sp. Its description in RNAcentral is "bacterial SSU rRNA". It matches the Rfam family "Bacterial small subunit ribosomal RNA", at positions 160 to 524 of the family's 1533-position model. Lineage: Bacteria; Bacillati; Bacillota; Bacilli; Lactobacillales; Lactobacillaceae. The record is from RNAcentral.
AUGCUAAUACCGGAUAACAACAGAUGAUGCCUAUCGAACUGUUUAAAAGAUGGUUCUAGGCUAUCACUCUUGGAUGGACCUGCGGUGCAUUAGCUAGUUGGUAGGGUAACGGCCUACCAAGGCGAUGAUGCAUAGCCCGAGUUGAGAGACUGAUCGGCCACAUUGGGACUGAGACACGGCCCAAACUCCUACGGGAGGCAGCAGUAGGGAAUCUUUCCACAAUGGACGCAAGUCUGAUGGAGCAACGCCGCGUGAGUGAAGAAGGGUUUCGGCUCGUAAAGCUCUGUUGUUGGUGAAGAAGGACAGGGGGUAGUAACUGACCUUUGUUUGACGGUAAUCAAUUAGAAAGUCACGGCUAACUACGUGCCAGCAGCCGCGGUAAU